GAGAUGAAGGUCAGAGAUCUGGAAUACAGAGGAAAAUUAUCUAAUCAGAAGUCACAGCUCCCAUCAGGCACAGACAAUAGAUGGUAAACUGGUUUCAGAACUAUUCAGGCAUCAUGGGAGACAAAUCAACAGACUUCAGGAAUAAACUUCCAGAUCUUAGCUCUUCUCAUAACACUGGACAGGAAAACAUGCCUGAAGUGAUUGUGCAGAACACUUCGUAAAAAGAAAGAAAUAAGCAAGGCCCAUUCCAGCCAUAUCGGAAGAUGGUUCAAGAAACUUUACAGCAGGGUAAUCUAUAGAAAAAUGUGCCUGCACAGAGUUUAUGGCCCUUAUUCUAUAAAGCUUGCUUUCUGCUGUUCUACCUGUUAUACUGGCUGCAUAUGCAUGUGUGCACACACAAAACCCCCUUUAGGUGUUUUGGCUUGCAGUACACUACUGGGUUUUUUUCAGGCUUUUUGGAAGGCAGCUAAGCUGCUGACCUCUUUGCUACUCUGCAGCAUAAAAUCCUCAGGCUAAUAAUAAAUACACUGUCAAAAAGAA
Long non-coding RNA from Neopsephotus bourkii (Bourke's parrot), 540 nucleotides. RefSeq lists it as uncharacterized. The record is from RefSeq and is a predicted model, not a curated record. The transcript has 3 exons. NCBI's taxonomy places the organism in Eukaryota, Metazoa, Chordata, Aves, Psittaciformes, Psittacidae.